Molecule: ribosomal RNA, 253 nt
Filed under: uncultured bacterium
Lineage: Bacteria
Description: partial 16S ribosomal RNA
Rfam family: Bacterial small subunit ribosomal RNA
Source: RNAcentral
UACAGAGGUCUCAAGCGUUGUUCGGAUUCAUUGGGCGUAAAGGGUGCGUAGGUGGCGCGCUAAGUCAGGUGUGAAAUUUCGGAGCUUAACUCCGAAACUGCAUUUGAUACUGGCGUGCUUGAGGACUGGAGAGGAGACUGGAAUUCACGGUGUAGCAGUGAAAUGCGUAGAGAUCGUGAGGAAGACCAGUGGUGAAGGCGGGUCUCUGGACAGUUCCUGACACUGAGGCACGAAGGCCAGGGGAGCAAACGGG